CCUUAGCAUUAUUGAUAACUUACUGAAAUGUCAUUGGGCCGGUCUUUUCUUGGAUUUCAACUCUUGAAUAUAUUUUUCAUCUUCAAUUUCUCUAGAUUUUGCAAUAGACCCUGCAUUGACUCGAAAAUCUUGUGUUAAACCCAUCAAAAAUUUGGACGGCUACCUCUAAUAGUGAAAAUACGAUUAGGAGGAAAAGAGUAAAUUUUGAAAUUCAAAUUGGAUGUGUAUGAGUAUUUUAGGAGAGAAUUAGGGAAUGGAGAGAGGAGAGAUAAAGUAAUGUUUGUAUAAAUGAGUAUACAAAAGCCGGGAAGGCUAUUUUUGUUUCGUUAUACAAAGUACUGGUGUGCCCCAUAUUUAAUAGCAAAAUAUAUUAAACUAUAGUCACGUACAAUAAUUAAAUGAAAUUAUACUCUCAUUGAAUAAUAAACUAGUAAUAUUUACCAACUCAUGUAAUUUUCCCUAUUAAAUAUAUCAAUGUAUAUCAAGCAAAAGAUUUUGUGAUAUGCAAAGAUAUACCCGAGAUAUAUGAAUAUAAAAAGUGGUAUAGAGUAAAUUUCAGAUAUUUGACCCAUUGGGCCGUGUAAUUUGGACUUCAAAAUUGAAGUUUCAAUUUGAAAUUUGUGUUGGUUUUGAAAUUUUGAUUCCUAUCACAAGUUCACCUUAAAGAUGUCGAUUCUAAAUUUGUGAUUUCAAUUUUUUUUUUUUCUAAUUUUAAACUUGGCACAUAAGUUUAUAUUUCAUAAAAGUAAUAAUCAUAAUUUUAAUUUUUGCAAAAAAAGAAAAAAAAAAUUCAUUCUCGAUAUGAAGAUGUUGUCUGUAUCAUGUGAGAAGAUUAUAUUAAAAAUAGUUAAUUUGUUACUAUUAUUCAUUUAUUGAGCUAGUCAAGAUCUUUAUAAGAUUAUGUGUAUUAAUAACAUAUAAUGUAAUCGUAAAUCAAUGGAACAGUUACAUUCAUCUCAUCAAGCACUCUAGCAUAUGAAAUCCUCUCCAACUUUUGAGGUACUCUGUUUGGAUGGUUGCUACGUAUUGUUUCUUUAUGUAUUGUAUUGUAUGUAUCGUAUUGUAUUGUAUUGUUUUAAUGAAUAUAAUGUUUGGGUAGAUUAUAUCAUUUUCCGUCAUUGUAUAAUGUCACACAUCAACAAUAUGAAGAAAAAACCUAAAAAAAAGUAGGAUACGUAGUAAAGCUACUAUAAAACGGUAGGGUGAAGGAUUAAAAAUAAGACUUUUCAUUCCAAAUAAAUCGUUAUUCAAAAUGAAAAUUUUUGUUAUUACCAAUGAACGUAACAAUACGAUACAACAAAAAUUUACGUGGGUUUUGUCUAUAUGUAUAUUUUAUGCUAGCUUCAAGCUUUGAGCUUAUUCUUACUUUCGUUAAAGUGAUUAUAUAUCCUUUCACUUAAUUAAGUAGCUUGAAUGUGCAAUUAAUUAGCUUCUAAACCUCUCUAACGCAUGCAUAAUUACUGUGUCAACAUAAUUUGGACAUUAUUUUCUUUGAUUGUUCGUGUCGUUUUUGCACAAGUAAUGACGUACACAUAAUUUUUUCUAAGUGAUUUCACCACUUAAAGGACAAAAAUGACUCAAGAGGAAAAUUUGUGACAAAAUCAAAUAGAAUAAAAUAAAAUAAUUAUUAUGAACAAAUAAAAAUAAAAAUUCAAGCACAUAAUAAAAAAAAAGAAUAACAAAACAAAAAUACUAACAUAAUGUGGAGAUUCGAGAUGUCGAAUGACGAUGAACACGAACUAUUUUUUUUUUGAAGAAACUCAAAGUCACGAAUAUAUAAAUAGAAAGAGUCAACAAUAAAUUUUUUUUAGCUAUAAUUCUAAUUGAUAAAGGACUCAAAGAUUUUAUGCACAAUGACCAGCGCAAUUAGCGCAUCUGUCGGUAGAGGUUCAGAUAAAGUAAGUUUUAUUUCAAUCUAAAAUAAAAAGUAGUAGGUAUAUUUUGAAUGAAUUAGAGUGGGUCCGUAGGUUUUUAAUAACGACCCUACGUUUUUUAAUUCAAAGCUAAAAUUUAAGAGAGAGAAAAACAAUUUAAAACUAAAAUUUAAGAGAAAAAUAAAACAAAAAAUAAGCGCUUUAACCACUUGUGCUGCGAGAAAUUUUGUACAAGCAAAAUGUCCUUUUAAUUCCUUAUAUCGUUUUACUGUUUUCUAUUUAAAAUAUAUAUAUGUAUAUUUUAGUAAAAUUUCCAAUAAAGUUAUGUCACGUGACAACCCUUUCAACAACGUAGAUCCACUCCUUUGCACAAGAAUCAUAUGGUUAAUUAUCUUCGUUGUAUCGUUUCAAUCUAUCUACGUGUCCAAAAAGACGAUCUUUAAUAGCAUAUGCAUUACAAUCAUCUUGUAAAGGGAUAGAUAGAAAAAAGUCUACAUAUAUAGAUAGUACCAUUGUAAUUGUUCGUAUGUUUUAAGAUUCUUUGUUGCCAGUUUUUGCAAAAAAACACUAUGAUUGACACAGAUUCAUUUAUAAUAAUACUACUAUAGUUUCCGUCUUUUUCCUUCCUUUCUUCUUUUAUUUUUUGGAUUAUGUUAAAAAAUAUCUUGAAACUAUUUGAAAUGAAUAAAAAUGUCAUUAGUUGAUAGUUUGGUCCAAAAAUAUCUUUAAUGUUACUUAAUGGGUCAAAAAUGUCAUUUUUCAAAUAAAUAUAUUAUUUCUAAUAUUCUUUUAAACACAUUCUUUUCUUAAUAAUGAUUUUUUUAAUUAGAAAAUGUUUAGGGAAAAGAUAUAAAUUCACCCCUGAAUGUAUCUCAAAAAGUCAGUUAAAUGUUUAAACUAUCAUGGCGACAAAUAAGAUCAACGGAAUAGCAGUGGUGGUUGGAAGGUUGGUGAAGGGGUGGGGGACAUGGAUAGCAAAUUAAAUCAAAGUUAUUACCCUUUUGAUAUAUGAGGGUGGGGAACAAUUAAUUUUUCUUGAUAAUAAUUGUUUGGAAAUUUAGGGGUUGACUCUUCAAUGUUCUUUUGAUGCUAAUGGGUUGUAAAAUUUAGAUUACCAAAGUACUACCUUUUUUGGUGAAUUGGUGAGAAAUAUAUAUAUACUAGAUAAGCGUGCCCGUGCAAGGCACGGGCAUAUUGUGGGGAUAAAAAUAGUUGUAAAGAAAGACGUGAAAAAAAAAGUGCUAAAAGAAAGAUAGGAGCUCUUUAAAGGAAGGAAAGGACGGAAAUCCCCUUGGUAGUCCAAGGGAACCACCACUUAUAUAGUAUGAAUGAUGAUUAUUAUAUAUGAUGAUGAAGAAAGAAAUAUUAAUUAGCCCUACGUGGCUAUUUUUGAUUGGUUUGGUAGUAUUUGAUGAGCUCUUUUAAGGAAGGAAAUGACGGGAAUACCCUUGGUAGUCCAAGGGAACCACCACUUAUAUAGUAUGAAUGAUGAUUAUUAUAUAUGAUGAUGAAGAAAGAAAUAUUAAUUAGCCCUACGUGGCCAUUUUUGAUAGGUUUGGUAGUAUUGGUAGGAGCUCUUUUAAGGAAGGAAAUGACGGGAAUACCCUUGGUAGUCCAAGGGAACCACCACUUAUAUAGUAUGAAUGAUGAUUAUUAUAUAUGAUGAUGAAGAAAGAAAUAUUAAUUAGCCCUACGUGGCCAUUUUUGAUAGGUUUGGUAGUAUUGGUAGGAGCUCUUUUAAGGAAGGAAAUGACGGGAAUACCCUUGGUAGUCCAAGGGAACCACCACUUAUAUAGUAUGAUAUGAUGAAAAAAAUAAAAAUAAAAAUAUAUAUAUAUAUAGUAUGAAGUAUGAUGAUAAUAUAUAGUAAGUUGGUAGUCCAAGGGAACCACGACUUAUAUAAUAUGAUAGGAGCUCUUUUAAGGAAGGAAAUGACGGGAAUACCCUUGGUAGUCCAAGGGAACCACCUUAUAUAGUAUGAUAUGAUGAAAAUAUAUAUAUAUAGUAUGAAGUAUGAUGAUAACAUAUAGUAAGUUGGUAGUCCAAGCGAACCACGACUUAUAUAGUAUGACAGGAGCUCUUUUAAGGAAGGAAAUGACGGGAAUACCCUUGGUAGUCCAAGGGAACCACCAAUUAUAUAGUAUAGUAUGAAGUAUGAUGAUGAUAUAUAGUAAGUUGGUAGUCCAAGCGAACCACGACUUAUAUAGUAUGACAGGAGCUCUUUUAAGGAAGGAAAUGACGGGAAUAACCACCACUUAUAUAGUAUGAAAUCAUGGGAAUACCCUUGGUAGUCCAAGGGAACCACCAAUUAUAUAGUAUAGUAUGAAGUAUGAUGAUGAUAUAUAGUAAGUUGGUAGUCCAAGGGAACCACGACUUAUAUAAUAUGAUAGGAGCUCUUUUAAGGAAGGAAAUGACGGGAAUAACCACCACUUAUAUAGUAUGAAAUCAUGGGAAUACCCUUGGUAGUCCAAGGGAACCACCACUUAUAUAGUAUAAUAUAGGAAGGAAAUGACGGGAAUACCGUUGGUAGUCCAAGGGAACCACCACUUAUAUAGUAUAAUAAUAAUAAUAAAGUAUGAAGUAUGAUGAUGAUAUAUAGUAAGUUGGUAGUCCAAGGGAACCACGACUUAUAUAGUAUGAUGGGAGCUCUUUUAAGGAAGGAAAUUACGGGAAUACCCUUGGUAGUCCAAGGGAAUCACAACUUAUAUAGUAUGAUGAUAUGAUAAAUAAAUAUAUAUAUAUUGUAUGAAGUAUGAUGAUGAUAUAUAGUAAGUUGGUAGUCCAAGGGAACCACCACUUAUAUAGUAUAAUAAUAAUAAUAAAGUAUGAAGUAUGAUGAUGAUAUAUAGUAAGUUGGUAGUCCAAGGGAACCACGACUUAUAUAGUAUGAUGGGAGCUCUUUUAAGGAAGGAAAUUACGGGAAUACCCUUGGUAGUCCAAGGGAACCACCACUUAUAUAGUAUGAUGAUGAUAUAUAGUAAGUUGGUAGUCCAAGGGGAACCACCACUUAUAUAGUAUGAUGAUGAUAUAUAGUAAGUUGGUAGUCCAAGGGAACCACCACUUAUAUAGUAUAAUAAUAAUAAUAAAGUAUGAAGUAUGAUGAUGAUAUAUAGUAAGUUGGUAGUCCAAGGGGAACCACCACUUAUAUAGUAUGAAUGAUGAUGAUGAAGAAAGAAAUAUUAAUUAGCCUUACGUGGCCAUUGUUGAUAGGUUUGGUAGUAUUGGUAGGAGCUCUUUUAAGGAGGAAAUGACGGGAAUACCCUUGGUAGUCCAAGGGAACCACCACUUAUAUAGUAUGAUCGAAAGAAACCACCACCUAUAUAGUAUGAUCGAAGGAAACCACCACCUAUAUAGNNNNNNNNNNNNNNNNNNNNNNNNNNNNNNNNNNNNNNNNNNNNNNNNNNNNNNNNNNNNNNNNNNNNNNNNNNNNNNNNNNNNNNNNNNNNNNNNNNNNAUAACAUAUAACAAUUUAAUAUAAAAAUAAAUUAUUUAUAAAAUCUACAAAUUAUAUCAGUAUGCAUUAAUAAAAAGAAAAUUAAAUUUUAAAUCAUGAGUGUUACCAAAAUAACAAAUAUUCCCAUAAUUAAUACCGACAAUACCUGAAAUUUGUUUUUGAAUUAAUCUACAUUAUUACAUUAUUUUAUUUAUGCAAAGAGUUUGAUUGGGGAAAAAAAUAUCUUUUUGUUAACAAGAUUUAAUCUUUUUGUUAACAAAUUUAUUCUUUAAAAAUAAUUAAAAAAAAAUAGUAAACACUUAAAAUUUCUCUAUGAAAAAUUGAUAUUAAAUUUGUAAGUAAUUAUAUUGGGCCCGUAUACGGGCCUUCAGUUAUCUAGUAUAUAUAUAAAGGAGGAACAUAUGUGAUGUGACACCUCUUUAUGGUCUCCAUUCAUAUUUAUUUAUUUUUUCUCCUUUUCUUGACACUUUUUCUUAUUUUUUUUAAUUAUUUUUUUCUUGCAAAAUCAUCUUCUUAAGUUAUACCUCUUCAAUUUUAUAAAUUCUAUUCUUAAAUUAGUAUUAAUAAUAUUCACAGCUCCCAAUCCUUUCAUAUUCAUUACCUCUCAAGCUUUUCUUAUUCAUAACCUUUAAUUAUUUAAUGUAGAAGGUUAUAUUAACACUAUAAAAUCACACUAAAAUUGUGUGUUAUUUUGUAGUCAUCUUUGGUUAGAGAAUUAGUGGCAACAAUAUUUUUAAGCUUUGAGGUGCAUUAUCUUUUUCAAAUAUGAUUUCAUAUAUUACUUUUAAUUAGCAAGUAAGGCUAAUAUGUCAAAGCAUAUUUUUGUUUCUUCCGGAUAAAUUAUUUUGGUUUGUUAUCUUUAUGAUUCUCUUUAUAACCAUAAAAAUGGAGAUUCAUUUUAAGACUAAUAAUUUGUUAUUAUUUUUCUUGACUCUUGUAUAUAGGAUGAAAUGAAAUCAUCCAGAGAUGGAGCUUAAUGGAUUUUGAGCUAUAUAGAUUCAAAUUGAUUAUUCUUUAUUUUUUUUAGGUGCUUAAGAAGUAAUGUUUCUAUUAUAUUAUUUUCUUUUGGAUUAUUUAUGUUUUGUCAAAAAUGAUUAUGUGUAGGAGGACUUAUGAUUAAAUGUAAUUUUCUCUUUAUUCUUUAUCCUUUUCUUCUUUGCUAGAUAAUUUUUAAACUUAUUUGAUCAUAUUUUGCAGAUCAUAGGAGAUAUAUCUAUAAUGAAAAUGGUUAGACAUUCUUGCAUAAUUUGAUUUUACAAGGUAAAAUAAUUUGAUAUGUCUAAUAUAAUUACAACUCUUUUUUUGUUGAAAUCAUACAUUUAAUAUUAUUUGUUUGUGUUCGUGAAGAUAUAAAUCUUGAGUUUCUUAAAAAAAAUUAUUUAAUUAAUUCUCUUUAGACCUCUAUGUAAUUCUUAGAUAAUUUAAUUAUAUUAUACUGAUAACACUCUACAAAAAAAUUAUUUGUUUAAGUAAAUUCAUCUCUCACUUUUUUGUUGAUAAUAUUAGUUUAUUGUAUUUGUGGGCUAUAAUAUUUUAAAACAUAGAAGCAGAGUCAAUGGAUAUCGAAAUGCUACUUAAAGAAAUACGUACAUAUACUUCCAUAGUCUGGUGGAGCAAUUUUUAUUAACAAAAAUGAAAGAACAUGAGAAUGUAAAGUUAAUUUAUAAUUUUGAAAAUAUAGUAGGUUUUAUUAAAAACAAAUUAUUUAUUAAUGUGUAAAAUUGCCGUCAUUAAAUUUUUCGUUUUUGUUGUUUUCUAGGAGAUUUCAGGUUGUUUAUUAAUAAGUCAAGUUGCAUUCUUUAUAUUUUUCAUCUUUGUUGUUUUCCAGGAGUUCUCAAGUUAUUUCAAAAAUUGCAAUUAAUUUAUAAUUUUAAAAAUACAGUUGGUUUCCUUGAUUUCUAUUUACUUAUAAUAAAAUAUCUGUCUCAAUAACUCUAAUUUGUUUGUCUUUUCAUUUUCUAUAUUUAAUGUUCUUUAUUAGUGUAAUAAUGUACAAAUAUUACUCCUAUUAUGUUACAAACAAGUCCAAAGCCACAUUCUUAAUCCUCUUAAUUACUGUGACUCUUUAUUCUUAGGAAUUUAUUAUAUUGAAUAUAAUAUUUAUUUAAAUUGUGAAAUAUACUUUUUAAUAUUUUUGUGUAUAAGCCAAGCAAAAUUAAAAGAAAUAGGAAUUUGUAUGUGUCAUUUUUUUUAAUCUUUUUGCGUAGUUAAUUCUCUCUUUUGUUCUCUUUUAUGUUUAUUUUUAAAUUUUACAUUCUUUUGUUUUGUACAUUCUUUUGCUUUCCCAAUAUAAGCUGUCCCAAAAAUAAUUGGAUAUCUGAACCUAAAUAUAAUAAUAAUAAUAAUAUAUUAAGAUAUGGAAACUAACUAAUUAAGAUUAUUAUUUUUCAUCAUUUAAAUGUAAACUUAUUGUUAUUUAAAAUUUAAUUAUUAAAAAGCUAUUAAUCUAAUAUUAAAUUAAUCUAAUAUUGUACAAUAAAAAUAAUUAAAAUAUGUGAUGAUUGGGUGAUGACGACGUCAAGUCAUAGUAAUUGUGGAUGAUGAUUAAAAAUAGUUUUGGCUAACGAUGUAGUCAUGGAUAAUAACUAUUAAUGGCAAUCUGAGUUUACACAUUGUCAAAAAAUUAUGCUAAGAAUAUAAUUAAAAAGAUCAUAAAGAAGCAGAAAAGAAUGAUCAAAUUUCAAGUUUACAUAAAUAUAGAUAAAUUAUACUAAAAAAGAUCCCAAAUAAAAAAGAAAAAAACUAUCACAUCUCAAGUUUAUAUUCCAGUAGUUCUAAUAUUACCUUCUCUUUUUCUCCAUGAAAUUUAUUUUUAAUAUUUAACUUUUAGAAGUUCACAUAUAUUGAUUUCUUAAUGAAUUUCAUAGUUAACCUAAAUAUUUUUCAUAGCUUCUCUUCUAUGAAAUUCUGUGAUUAAUAAAAAAUUCCUUUUAUUAAAGUAAUUACUGAUAUUAGUAUGUAAUUUUAUUUUAAUUCUUUUCAUAACCGCACGAAACAAGACUAAGUACACUAAUUAGUGGAGAAUUCUCAAGUAAUGAUGAAUUGAGUGCAAAAUUGUAGAGUUGUGAUAAGAAAAAAAUAAAGAAGAAAAAGUCUAAAGGAGAAUUAAGGAAGAUGAGCACGAAGGAGGAGAAUAGAGCGGGGUGGGGGUCAAAAAAUUAACUUUUUUUUACUUUAUUUUCGACUCAAAAGUGCCUAUUUUUUUUUAUUAUUUUAUUUUAUUUUCAUGUCAGUUCUAAGGUGGUAUUAGUUACACUUUUAACAAGAAUAAGUGUGCAAUAGGUCGUCAUGAUAGUUUAAGCGAGUAACUGAUUUUUCGGGACAAGUUGAAGGGUGAAUUUAAUGGGGCCUUUUUGACCCAUUAAAUAACAAUAAGAUCAUUUUUGGACAAAACUAUUGAAAACAAGAGCAUUUUUUUUUACCAAACUAUCAACUAAGUACAUUUUUGUUCAAGUAACAUAGUUUAAGGGUAUUUUUGACUCUUUUCCGUUUAUCUUUUUUGAUCGAAUAAUUAUAAUUUUGUAGAACUUUACGAGAAAAACAUUUUUUGGUUUUUUUCUUUGAAUUUUCUCACGUUCAUCUCCCUCAAGGUAAAUAAAGAAACAAGGACCAACAAAUUAAACAAUGAUUAAUUAAUUAAAUGGAUUACAACUUGAUCAAGAGCUUUAGCAACAUAAAUAUAAUUAAAAUGUGUGAAAUGAAUAACAAAAGUCUGUACCUUGAUUAAUUUCUAGUGGAUGCAGACAAAAUUGUGGAAAAAAAAAUAUAAGGAAAAAAGAUAGAACACAUAAACAAAAUACAUAAAUUGCCCACCUCAUUUCCGAUCAAAGAGUGUUUGUGAGACUUCGAAAAAACAUUCACACUUUGAUUCGUGAGUAACUUCACGAGAACAUUGUGAAAGGAGAAAAUGGCGGUUGUACUGCUCAUGAAGUCUUGAUAAACCCUUGACGAACGUAACAAAAGUUACUCGAUACUUGUGUCAUCAGUAACAUCUGUAAUAGUAGGCAGUGUCCUAUAGAGUGGUAGUUGGUAAUUAUUCCCAGCAUUGCUAUCAAGUUGAGCACGGAUAGAAAUUGUAAGGACAGGAAUUGUUGAGAGUAUGUGAAGAGUCCAUUCCCAUAAAUUAGAAAUCCAAUUAGAACAAGACAUGAAUAAUAAAGAAAAUAAAAUAAUAAUGAAAAAAAUAUACCAAAAUAACACUUGUGGGAGUAAAAGUGUGAUUAUAACAAAGAUACUAAAGAACUUGGAAAAAGUUCCAAAUUGUAUUUCUAUACUUAUAGGACGAUUAGAAUAAUUAGUCAUGUGGAUUAUUCUAAUAGAAAUGAUGGAGAAAAUAAAGGAAAGUGAUAUAAGUAAAAGAAUCUUAUUUAUGAGUAUGAUAAAACUAAAUAAUAUUGGAUCAGAAUCAUAAUAUAAUAAUAAAUGGAAAGGAUCCCAAUCAGAAGAAGUGGAUUUGGAGAUGUUAAUUAGCAUCAAAAUAAUGUACCUUAGAUCGUAGAUUCUCAUGAUUAGUUACCCCUAUAUUUUCCGACUGGCUAGAGAGAGACAAAUCGUUUUUGGUAGAUCCUCAAGAAAUAGUCUAAGAACUAUCAAAGGAAUAUAUUCAGAGAUCAAUCAAUUGAUCAAAAUUUGUAUUUGUCGAUUCCUCUCUAUCUCGCUCUCUCUCUCUCUCUCUAUAUAUAUAUAUAUAGGGUUGUGAAAACUUUGAAGAUUUACACAUGACGCG
Molecule: long non-coding RNA, 10054 nt
Filed under: Solanum tuberosum (potato)
Lineage: Eukaryota; Viridiplantae; Streptophyta; Magnoliopsida; Solanales; Solanaceae
Description: long non-coding RNA (STUB_LNC008529)
Source: RNAcentral